UUAGUCCCUACCAUUACUGCACAGACAUAUAUAUAGACAAACAUCGUUUGUCCCUUUUGUCCUGACAAUCUCCCUUAGUGGCUCACGGGCAUCAUCUCCUUCGAAGAAGAAGAAGAUAGGCUACCGUCAUCGCCUCUCCGUGGCAUACCAUCAUCGCCGGUCGGGACUCAUGUAGAGGAACUCCACCUCCUCUAAUCUCUCUGCACCGUGUGUCGGAGAUUCUGGCGCACGUCAGCAGAACCCCAGAUGAAAGAAAUUAUUCGCGGUUCUACCAUACUGCACGUGAAGCAUGUCGCCACAGAAGUAGACUGACACGCCUUAAGUGACGGCCUCGUUGUAGAAUGCAUCUUUAUCUCUACCUGAUAUCUUCUUUUAUAAAGCACUACUGAAGACAUGUACUCACGGCUCUUCACGAGAUACUGCCCCUGUACGAGGACGGCGCUGACAACGAGAAGAAAAGUGCAGAGAAAUAUCUGUGCUUGCAUGGCUGUAGACGACUGGAUACCUUCGAUGAAGAACGGUGAUAUUGACCGGUUGUCCGCCGGGUUUUAUACGGCAUACCACGGCGGAAACGUUAAACGUAUGGGAGCGAAAAGUUCUGCUAAUCUGAAUGCGAUACAAUUGCGUUUUAAUGGUUUUUCUCCGAACUCUACGUGUGGGCAAAUUAAUGUCAAAUUAACAUACGUCGUUUCCUUUGAACAACAAAUUUUGUAAUUCUGAUGAAAAAUGAGACCAUUGUUUUGUUUUGAGCUGAUGAGUUCGUGGACGCUCCAGUUCUUGACGUCUACCAGCAGUGUAUCAACGUUACGCGUAAUAACAGGUUACCGGGUUUAUUAAAUCGCACAAUUCCU
Molecule: long non-coding RNA, 851 nt
Organism: Ornithodoros turicata
Lineage: Eukaryota; Metazoa; Arthropoda; Arachnida; Ixodida; Argasidae
Exons: 2
Source: RefSeq, a predicted model, not a curated record